CAUUUUAUUUCUUUAUUUUUCUAUUGUUUUUCAAAAAAAAAGAAGCAGAAUGCUUCUUCUUCCUUGCUCCCUCUCCAUUUUUGCUAAGAAUUCAACCUAGCUUGCGCUACCCUAGAGGAUCAUCGGUGCCACGCACCUCCACCCACCGCCGGUUCACGGAUCAAGAUCAGGUGUUGUUGUGGAUAUCUCGGAAGCACGAGGCGUGACAAAGAGGGACUGCUGGUAGCGCAUGUAUCGGAGGUGCGGUGGAUGGUGGAGGCACGUACGAUGUGGGGAUUGGGGUAUUGAAGUGAAUUUUGUUUUGGUUUUGGGCUGUUUUGGGUUAUAGGAUUGGGCUAGUGGUUAAUGGGUUUGAUUAGUAGGCUAGGCAAAGAAAAUUGGUCCAACAGGGUUUAUGAUGUCCAAUUAAAUAAGUAUGACUUUGUACCUUUUGUUGACUCUUACUCUAGUGGAAAAGAGAUUUGUGAUGGUGAACUUUGUGAACUGGAAAAAGAUGUUAGUAAGAAUUUUUUCCUUAAAUUUAUAGAGUUAGAUGAGAUAGAAA
This is a long non-coding RNA of Gossypium arboreum, 544 nucleotides long. RefSeq lists it as uncharacterized. The transcript has 2 exons. The record is from RefSeq and is a predicted model, not a curated record. NCBI's taxonomy places the organism in Eukaryota, Viridiplantae, Streptophyta, Magnoliopsida, Malvales, Malvaceae.